This 146-nucleotide small nucleolar RNA is filed under the name Spermophilus dauricus (Daurian ground squirrel). RNAcentral describes it as "Small nucleolar RNA SNORA11 (ENSSDAG00000011892.1)". It matches the Rfam family "Small nucleolar RNA SNORA11". Rfam says of the family: U107 (SNORA11) is a member of the H/ACA class of snoRNAs that guide the sites of modification of uridines to pseudouridines. This snoRNA was identified by RT-PCR from blood cells and its expression confirmed by Northern blot analysis. Lineage: Eukaryota; Metazoa; Chordata; Mammalia; Rodentia; Sciuridae. The record is from Rfam by way of RNAcentral.
GGGGUGUGCUCAGAGCAGGGGCCUGAAGAGUGGCUGGGCUGUUUUUUAAAAUCCCCCAUGUUUAUAACACACCCAAUAGGAAUCUGGGGCCAUUGUGAGGAGGGGCACAAGAUAUGUGUCCUUCUAUGAACAAAUGCCCUACAUAU